RNAcentral lists this unclassified non-coding RNA (380 nucleotides) under soil metagenome. Its description in RNAcentral is "partial contains 5.8S ribosomal RNA, internal transcribed spacer 2, and large subunit ribosomal RNA". The stretch from base 1 to 114 matches the Rfam family "5.8S ribosomal RNA", at positions 35 to 154 of the family's 154-position model. The record is from RNAcentral.
GAUGAAGAACGUAGCGAAGUGCGAUAAGUAAUGUGAAUUGCAGAAUUCCGUGAAUCAUCGAAUCUUUGAACGCAAAUUGCACUCUCUUCGGAGAGUAUGCCUGUUUGAGGGUCAGUAUUAAUAAAAAUCGGCGUGUUGCUCUUUUGUAACGUUCCGGAGUUUGAGUUAUCUUAACUUUCUGGGUUUCAAGAGGCUUAAAAUUGACCUUUUUUUGUGCAUUUUAGACGUACAUAAAUUUUUUUUUAUUCGUUUAUCUUUAAUGCCAAAAUUUUAUUAGGUGCGACCAUAUCAUGUGGGUUCUGCAUCUAUAAAUUUUUCAUGAUUUGACCUCAAAUCAGGUAGGAACACCCGCUGAACUUAAGCAUAUAAUAAGCGGAGGA